CCUACGGGCGGCAGCAGUGAGGAAUAUUGGUCAAUGGACGCAAGUCUGAACCAGCCAUGCCGCGUGCAGGAAGACGGCUCUAUGAGGUGUACACUGCUUUUGUACGAGGGUAAACGCAGAUACGCGUAUCUGUCUGAAAGUAUCGUACGAAUAAGGAUCGGCUAACUCUGUGCAAGCAGCCGCGGUAAGACGGAGGAUUCAAGCGUUAUCCGGAUUUAUUGGGUUUAACGGGUGCGUAGGCGGUCGGAUAAGUUAGAGGUGAAAUCCUGGUGCUCAACUUCGGAAUUGCCUCUGAUACUGUUCGGCGAGAGAGUAGUUGCGGUAGGCGGAAUGUAUGGUGUAGCGGUGAAAUGCUUAGAGAUCAUACAGAACACCGAUUGCGAAGGCAGCUUACCAAGCUACUUCUGACGUUGAGGCACGAAAGCGUGGGGAGCAAACAGGAUUAGAUACCCUAGUAGUC
RNAcentral lists this ribosomal RNA (460 nucleotides) under uncultured bacterium. RNAcentral describes it as "partial 16S ribosomal RNA". It matches the Rfam family "Bacterial small subunit ribosomal RNA", at positions 338 to 795 of the family's 1533-position model. The record is from RNAcentral.